UUGAGCACGAGGUCACCUUCUCGGAACACACGAGGUUUGACCUUCUUAAUGAAUGCUUUCUUCAUUCUCUGCUGAUAUAACUGACCAUGACACAUGGCAGUCAAUCGCUUUUCUUCAAUCAAAUUCAGUUGGUCAUAACGACUCUGAAUCCAUUCAGCACCAGUCAACUUGGGAUUUGAGGGUAUCAUUUCUCUUUUAUUCUUCCUUUUUUUUUUUGAUUUUAUUCUUUUAUUUUUUUCACCCCCUCUUCUUUUUUUUCUUUUUUUUUUACAUUACAUUUGUAAUGCCCCAGUUUAACUGUUCUGCUGAUUCUCAAGAUACAGCUGAAUGAUCUUCUUUUCAUACUCAAGAAGGCGGGUA
This 360-nucleotide long non-coding RNA is filed under the name Lathyrus oleraceus (garden pea). RNAcentral's name for it is "Pisum sativum (pea) long non-coding RNA (PSAT_LNC039836)". Lineage: Eukaryota; Viridiplantae; Streptophyta; Magnoliopsida; Fabales; Fabaceae. The record is from RNAcentral.